Molecule: long non-coding RNA, 396 nt
Organism: Olea europaea var. sylvestris
Lineage: Eukaryota; Viridiplantae; Streptophyta; Magnoliopsida; Lamiales; Oleaceae
Exons: 2
Source: RefSeq, a predicted model, not a curated record
GGAAAACAUUAGGCCAUGGAACAAUUUUCAAAUUAAUGUCAAGCCUUAUAAAUCGAAGGAUCUGUUGUGAUGUAUGCUAGACGUGGUUCCAUUGCAAGCGCGUGAAGAUUACACCAGCUAGAGCCGAGCAUAUUAACCAAUACAAGUGUCCUUCAUGCAGUAACAAGAGAGCCUGUGCUUGAUGUGAAAUAUUAUUAUCUGUACUCUUGAUAAACGUCCAAAUCUUUGUUGUUUAGGUCAUUUCUUGUUUGAGUAUAAUGUGGAGAAUUAACCUAUGAAUAGAACUCUUAUUGGGCAGUCUUGCAAUUGGUAUAGUCUGUUCAUGGACCAUUACAUUCUCUUGUAGAGUUUUCAGUUUUUUCUUUUGAUGAUAUGAUAAGAAGCACAUUUAAAUCA